AGCGUCCUGCUCCUCUCGAAGCCUUGCGUUUAUACGUGGGGUACUUAUGUAGGGAGUGCGGGACGCU
RNAcentral lists this non-coding RNA (67 nucleotides) under unclassified sequences. Its description in RNAcentral is "DUF3800-VIII RNA". It matches the Rfam family "DUF3800-VIII RNA". Rfam says of the family: Bacteroidetes, Cyanobacteria, Firmicutes, Planctomycetes (1 example), Proteobacteria, Tenericutes (1 example). The record is from Rfam by way of RNAcentral.